Molecule: microRNA precursor, 84 nt
Organism: Pan troglodytes (chimpanzee)
Lineage: Eukaryota; Metazoa; Chordata; Mammalia; Primates; Hominidae
Rfam family: mir-548 microRNA precursor family
Source: Rfam
UGUUAGGUUGGCGCAAAAGUAAUUGCAGUUUUUGCCAUUGAAAGUAAUGGCAAAAACCACAAUUACUUUUGCGCCCACCUAAUA